Molecule: non-coding RNA, 98 nt
Organism: Beggiatoa sp.
Lineage: Bacteria; Pseudomonadati; Pseudomonadota; Gammaproteobacteria; Thiotrichales; Thiotrichaceae
Source: Rfam
ACCAGCGCAAUGCGGUGAAAGCUGCACGUUGCGUUCGGUGGAAUGGAAGGUAGUUGUUGUCCUAAUGGGUAAACUUAGGAAAUGGCUACCCAUCCUAC